UACAGAGGUCUCAAGCGUUGUUCGGAUUCAUUGGGCGUAAAGGGUGCGUAGGUGGCGCCGUAAGUCGGGUGUGAAAUUUCGGAGCUUAACUCCGAAACUGCAUUCGAUACUGCGGUGCUUGAGGACUGGAGAGGAGACUGGAACUCAUGGUGUAGCAGUGAAAUGCGUAGAGAUCAUGAGGAAGACCAGUGGCGAAGGCGGGUCUCUGGACAGUUCCUGACACUGAGGCACGAAGGCCAGGGGAGCAAACGGG
RNAcentral lists this ribosomal RNA (253 nucleotides) under uncultured bacterium. RNAcentral's name for it is "partial 16S ribosomal RNA". It matches the Rfam family "Bacterial small subunit ribosomal RNA", at positions 524 to 776 of the family's 1533-position model. The record is from RNAcentral.